Molecule: unclassified non-coding RNA, 253 nt
Filed under: uncultured bacterium
Lineage: Bacteria
Description: contains 16S-23S intergenic spacer region
Rfam family: Bacterial small subunit ribosomal RNA
Source: RNAcentral
UACAGAGGGUGCGUGCGAUAACCGGAUUUACUGGGCGUAAAGCGUGCGUAGGCGGCUUUUUAAGUCGGAUGUGAAAUCCCCGAGCGUAACUUGGGAAUUGCAUUCGAUACUGGGAAGCUAGAGUAUGGGAGAGGAUGGUAGGAUUCCAGGUGUAGCGGUUAAAUGCGUAGAGAUCUGGUGGAAUACCGAUGUCGAAGGCAGCCAUCUGGCCUAAUACUGACGCUGAGGUACGAAAGCAUGGGGAGCAAACAGG